GAGUGGAUUUUCCAGGGGAUUCAGGGGGCUGGAAUGAAACAAGAGCAGUGCACUCUGACCUGUCAAAUGCUAAAGCUGGCCUCAUUUGAGCCUGCCGCCCAUGCCCCCUUCCUCCUGUUGGAUCCCCUUUAAUUUCCGACAACUCCCUGGCCCCAACUAACUAACGGAGCCCUGUGCAGCAGAUCGCUCCAUAGCGUUCGGAGGCUGUCUGGACACUGCCCGAGCAGGCCGGAGGCGUUCGUGAGAUUUGAUUGUCCCCGAAGGAGAUGCCUUCGCUGUGUCUCCGCAGGGUCCUAUGGAGAAUGGUGAGCAAUGCAGGCAGAGCCACUCUGAAAACACACAACAUUCCAGGAUCUGAUGGCCCUCGGGGAGCUGAGGGGGAGAUGGCUAGCUACACUUCAGCCAGAGCUUUGAAGGGUGAACCACGAGUCCCAGCCUGACAUGAGUGAGAGGAAGAGAGGAGUGAGGAGGAAUGGGACACUCAGGAGGGACAUCAGCAAGGCCUGGUCAGCUGCCAUCUCCCCACCUGGAGAGGCAGCUUCCAGUUCUAAAGCCCUGGGGACUCUGUGUUUUGUUUGAAUAAGGGAAGCUGUUUCCCUUACAUCCUUUCAAAAAUAAAUAAAUAAAAGGCUAUCGUAUCAUCUUACAGAUGUUGUU
Cavia porcellus (domestic guinea pig) is the source of this 657-nucleotide long non-coding RNA. RefSeq lists it as uncharacterized. The record is from RefSeq and is a predicted model, not a curated record. Lineage: Eukaryota; Metazoa; Chordata; Mammalia; Rodentia; Caviidae. The transcript is spliced from 3 exons.